AUUGAACGCUAGCUACAGGCUUAACACAUGCAAGUCGAGGGGUAACGAGAGGAAAGCUUGCUUUCCUUGUCGACGACCGGCGCACGGGUGAGUAAUGCGUAUCCAACCUGCCCCCAACUAAGGAAUAACCUUGCGAAAGUAAGACUAAUACCUUAUAAUUUCCUCAGAUGUCAUCUGACGAGGAAUAAAGAUUUAUCGGUUGUGGAUGGGGAUGCGUCUGAUUAGCUUGUUGGCGGGGUAACGGCCCACCAAGGCAACGAUCAGUAGGGGUUCUGAGAGGAAGGUCCCCCACAUUGGAACUGAGACACGGUCCAAACUCCUACGGGAGGCAGCAGUGAGGAAUAUUGGUCAAUGGGCGGAAGCCUGAACCAGCCAAGUAGCGUGCAGGAUGACGGCCCUAUGGGUUGUAAACUGCUUUUAUACAGGAAUAAAGUUAGCCACGUGUGGUUAUUUGUAGGUACUGUAUGAAUAAGGACCGGCUAAUUCCGUGCCAGCCGCCGCGGUAA
This 506-nucleotide ribosomal RNA is filed under the name uncultured bacterium. Its description in RNAcentral is "partial 16S ribosomal RNA". It matches the Rfam family "Bacterial small subunit ribosomal RNA", at positions 30 to 523 of the family's 1533-position model. The record is from RNAcentral.